Molecule: long non-coding RNA, 404 nt
Filed under: Ceratitis capitata (Mediterranean fruit fly)
Lineage: Eukaryota; Metazoa; Arthropoda; Insecta; Diptera; Tephritidae
Description: uncharacterized LOC110117810, transcript variant X3
Source: RNAcentral
ACAUUUCGGCUGUCAUUUCCACUAAGAAAGCAAAUAGAUUUUAAAAAUGACAGAUUUUUGGUAUUAGUGGGUAAUAAUGUGAAAUAUUAUUAAAAUCAAAUUUAAUGCCAUUCUUUUGCGCUUUUCGCAUUAACUCAAAUUUCUCAAUAUUGUUACGAAUAUUUUGUGGCAUUCUAUCGGAGGCAUAAAUUUAAUCAGUUAUUAAUAUCAACUCAAUUAGGCGCUUUAAUGCGUAAAGUAAUUAUAAUCAUACCUUCUGUUAUGCGGAUAUAAAUUUGUCAGUAUGCAAAUGCAAUAUAUGUGUGAUGUAAAUUUCGCACUUGAUUAAGCAAUAUAUUAAGAACGUGGAAAUCUUUUGGAAGGCGCAAACAAUUUAUUUUAAGGGUAAAUAUGUGUGAAUAAAU